This is a non-coding RNA of Caenorhabditis elegans, 142 nucleotides long. The record is from Ensembl. NCBI's taxonomy places the organism in Eukaryota, Metazoa, Nematoda, Chromadorea, Rhabditida, Rhabditidae.
CGAUGUACAGAGAAAAAAGAAAAAGGGGCAAAAAGGCAGAAGAGCUGGCGGGGUUGUUUUGUGUGAAUCAUCUGAAUAAACAGGGCUUUUUAUAUGCGUUAGCUGGUACGUAUAUGCAUAUUUGUGUGUAUUGACAAGGUGG